GACGAACGCUGGCGGCGUGCUUAACACAUGCAAGUCGAACGGAAAGGCCCGGCCUUGGUGGGGUGCUCGAGUGGCGAACGGGUGAGUAACACGUGAGUAACCUGCCCUCGACUUUGGGAUAACUUCAGGAAACUGGGGCUAAUACCGGAUAUGAGCUCCUGCUGCAUGGUGGGGGUUGGAAAGUUUCGGCGGUUGGGGAUGGACUCGCGGCUUAUCAGCUUGUUGGUGGGGUAGUGGCUUACCAAGGCUUUGACGGGUAGCCGGCCUGAGAGGGUGACCGGCCACAUUGGGACUGAGAUACGGCCCAGACUCCUACGGGAGGCAGCAGUGGGGAAUAUUGCACAAUGGGCGGAAGCCUGAUGCAGCAACGCCGCGUGCGGGAUGACGGCCUUCGGGUUGUAAACCGCUUUCGCCUGUGACGAAGCGUGAGUGACGGUAAUGGGUAAAGAAGCACCGGCUAACUACGUG
This 468-nucleotide ribosomal RNA is filed under the name uncultured bacterium. RNAcentral describes it as "partial 16S ribosomal RNA". It matches the Rfam family "Bacterial small subunit ribosomal RNA", at positions 28 to 507 of the family's 1533-position model. The record is from RNAcentral.